This 57-nucleotide microRNA precursor is filed under the name Naja naja (Indian cobra). RNAcentral's name for it is "miRNA (ENSNNAG00000007487.1)". The record is from RNAcentral. Lineage: Eukaryota; Metazoa; Chordata; Lepidosauria; Squamata; Elapidae.
UGUGUCUUCCUCUGGAAGCUGGUUUCACAUGGUGGCUUAGAUUUUUCCAUCUCUGUA